Molecule: ribosomal RNA, 1469 nt
Filed under: metagenome
Description: bacterial SSU rRNA
Rfam family: Bacterial small subunit ribosomal RNA
Source: RNAcentral
AGGGUUUGAUCCUGGCUCAGGAUGAACGUUGGCGACGUGCCUUAUGCAUGCAAGUCGAACGAUCCGGUAGUUCGCAAGGGUUGCCGGAGAGUGGCGAACGGCUGAGUAACGCGUAAGUGACCUACCCCUAAGUGGGGAACAACCCUGAGAAAUCGGGGCUAAUACCGCAUAUGAUGGCCUGGGUAGAUCCUGGUCAUUAAAGCCGCAAGGCGCUUGGGGAGGGGCUUGCGUCCGAUUAGCUUGUUGGUGGGGUAAUGGCCUACCAAGGCGACGAUCGGUAGCUGGUCUGAGAGGAUGGCCAGCCAGACGGGGACUGAGAUACGGCCCUGACUCCUACGGGAGGCAGCAGCAAGGAAUCUUGCGCAAUGGGCGAAAGCCUGACGCAGCGACGUCGCGUGGGGGAAGAAGGCCUUCGGGUUGUAAAACCCCUUUUAUCGGGGAAGAAUGAUGACGGUACCCGAUGAAUAAGUCUCGGCUAACUACGUGCCAGCAGCCGCGGUAAUACGUAGGAGGCAAACGUUAUCCGGAUUUACUGGGCGUAAAGAGGGCGCGGGCGGUACUCUAAGUCGGGUGUGAAAGGUCCUGACUCAAUCAGGAUAUGUCAUCCGAUACUGGAGGACUAGAGGGCAGCAGAGGGAGGUGGAAUUCCCGGUGUAGCGGUGAUAUGCGUAGAUAUCGGGAGGAACACCAGUGGCGAAGGCGGCCUCCUGGGCUGUACCUGACGCUUAGGCCCGAAAGCGUGGGGAGCGAACCGGAUUAGAUACCCGGGUAGUCCACGCCCUAAACGGUGGAUACUAGGUAUGGGGGGUAUCGACCCUCUCCGUGCCGCAGUUAACGCUUUAAGUAUCCCGCCUGGGGACUACGAUCGCAAGAUUAAAACUCAAAGGAAUUGACGGGGGCCCGCACAAGCAGCGGAGCGUGUGGUUUAAUUCGAUGCUACGCGAAGAACCUCACCAGGGUUUGACAUGCUGGAAGUAGGAACCUGAAAGGGGGACGACCUGUCAAGCCAGGAGCCAGCACAGGUGCUGCAUGACUGUCGUCAGCUCGUGCCGUGAGGUGUCGGGUUAAGUCCCGUAACGAGCGCAACCCUCGUCCCAUGUUAUAUUCUCAUGUGAGACUGCCCCGUAAACGGGGAGGAAGGUGGGGAUGACGUCAAGUCAGCAUGGCCCUUAUGCCCUGGGCUACACACACGCUACAAUGGGCGGUACAAAGGGCUGCGAAGGAGCGAUCCGGAGCCAAUCCCAAAAAAACCGUCCUCAGUUCGGAUUGCAGGCUGAAACCCGCCUGCAUGAAGUCGGAGUUGCUAGUAACCGCAGGUCAGCAUACUGCGGUGAAUACGUUCCCGGGCCUUGUACACACCGCCCGUCACGUCAUGGAAGCCGGUAACGCUUGAAGUCGAUGGGCCAACCCUUCGGGGAGGCAGUCGCCGAGGGUGGGACUGGUAACUGGGACGAAGUCGUAACAAGGUA